This 468-nucleotide ribosomal RNA is filed under the name uncultured bacterium. RNAcentral's name for it is "partial 16S ribosomal RNA". It matches the Rfam family "Bacterial small subunit ribosomal RNA", at positions 28 to 507 of the family's 1533-position model. The record is from RNAcentral.
GACGAACGCUGGCGACGUGCUUAACACAUGCAAGUCGAACGGAAAGGCCCUGCUUUUGUGGGGUGCUCGAGUGGCGAACGGGUGAGUAACACGUGAGUAACCUGCCCUUGACUUUGGGAUAACUUCAGGAAACUGGGGCUAAUACCGGAUAGGAGCUACUGCUGCAUGGUGGGGGUUGGAAAGUUUCGGCGGUUGGGGAUGGACUCGCGGCUUAUCAGCUUGUUGGUGGGGUAGUGGCUUACCAAGGCUUUGACGGGUAGCCGGCCUGAGAGGGUGACCGGCCACAUUGGGACUGAGAUACGGCCCAGACUCCUACGGGAGGCAGCAGUGGGGAAUAUUGCACAAUGGGCGGAAGCCUGAUGCAGCAACGCCGCGUGCGGGAUGACGGCCUUCGGGUUGUAAACCGCUUUCGCCUGUGACGAAGCGUGAGUGACGGUAAUGGGUAAAGAAGCACCGGCUAACUACGUG